Molecule: ribosomal RNA, 236 nt
Filed under: uncultured bacterium
Lineage: Bacteria
Description: partial 16S ribosomal RNA
Rfam family: Bacterial small subunit ribosomal RNA
Source: RNAcentral
CCUGCCCUGGAGCGAGGGAUAACAUUUGGAAACAGAUGCUAAUACCGCAUAACAACAAAAGCCACAUGGCUUUUGUUUGAAAGAUGGCUUUGGCUAUCACUCUGGGAUGGACCUGCGGUGCAUUAGCUAGUUGGUAAGGUAACGGCUUACCAAGGCGAUGAUGCAUAGCCGAGUUGAGAGACUGAUCGGCCACAAUGGAACUGAGACACGGUCCAUACUCCUACGGGAGGCAGCAG